CCGGAGGGGAGCGGUGGCGGGAGGGACACGGUUGAGAGGCUGGGAGCGGGUGCUGCGGGACUGUUGUCGCGGUGGGUUUGUGUCCCCCGAACGAGCCCCACCGGUGGCCGCCGCCUCGGGGCUCUGGAGGGGCUGGUGCCUCCGCGGGUGCUGCCGCCCUGCCCGGCACAGGAGGACAGAGCAGAGAAGCGGAGGUGGGGUGGCACAGAGGGGUUUGUCUUCCAGGGCCUUCACUGAAUCUGCCUUUGUUACCGGCUUUCCUCCUCAAGCAGCAGGUCAUGGCGGGGAUGCUCCCCCCCUGCAGUCCUGGUCCAGCUGUGGGGCAGCAGCACCAGAGGGACGUGGAGCUGUUGGAAGUGGCACGGCUGCAUCUGGUGAUACAGUGGCUGUGGCGACAGGGCUGCAGCUGCCGAGGCAGAUACCCCGGAGAAAGGAACUCGGUGGUGUGAGGAUCAGUGAGAUACCACCAUUACCAUUACUACUAUUACCACCCCUAGGAUCCUGCAGCCAUCUCAAGGUCCUGGUAAUUGGUAAAAGUUCCUGAUGAUUUGAAAAAGGACAAAUGUCAUACCUGUUGUCAGAAAUGGCAAGGAGGAUCCACACAACUACCAGCUGGUCAGCCUUAACUCAGUCCCUGGGAAGAGUGGACAGCACAUCCUCCUGGAAGCUAUUUCGAAGCACAUGAAGGGCAAGAAGGACUGGGAGCAGCCAUCAGGGAUUUACCAAUGACCAACCUCAUUACCUUCUACAAUGAGGCAACAGCCUGUGUGGACAACAGGAGGGCACUUGGUGUUGUAUUGCUUGGUAAUAGCCUUGACUUAUCAAGGCCUUUGACAUGGUCUCUCAGCAGUUUACUUGUAGCCAAGUUGGUGAGAUUUGGACUGGGUAAGUGGAGUGUGAAGUGAGUGAGAAACUGGGUGGAUGGUUGGGCUGAAGGGUCAUAUCAACUAUAUGAAGUCCAACUGGCAAUUAGUUACUAUGGGAUCCUUCAGGAAAGGGGCCUCCCUCUCGGUUACAAGAUGCUGGCAACACAGCUGCUGUGAAAAUGUGACUGUUGCCACCAGAAGCUGGAGGUGGUGUGUAUGUGAAUAAGGCGGCUUGGAGGAAAUCUGGUUGAGAGGGCUCUUGACUUCAUUACCUAGUAACCUACAUUUCCUCCUCCUGUUUCGCUGGUGCUGAAAUCUAAAUGCAGAACCUGUUAUUGACAAGUGUGUGGAAUAUGUGCCUGGUCAUUGGCAUUUUUGGCAGAAGCAUCUUGGCUGCAUUAAAACAGAACUCAGAAAAGUUAAAUGAAUUUUGCUAAAGCUAUUGGGAAUUCCUCACCUUUGAGUGACAAGAGCUACUGAGCGCCUGUAGCCAGAUUGUCAUAAUAGAAAUUGCUUGGGAUCCAUACCUCCAACCACCCCUCCUGGCAUUCCUUCAAGGGCUCUUAAGGUUUACUGCAGAGAGAGUAGUCUUACACAUACAACAUUUGUUCCUCCAUCUCUGGAUUGGUAAGUGUGGCAGUAUUGCUUCAACCCUCACACUUCCCAUGGCCAUCUUUCCUUCACAUUGCAAGAUUCAGGCUUGGCCCAGGAGGAGUGAGCAGCUUCCACUUCCAUUGUCUUGCCAGCCUUCAGCCAUGGUGACUCCUCGUUGCUAACACUCAUCCCCUUCCCCAGUUGUAGGAAUAACCCGCACUGAAAUGUAAUUGUGGGGUGCUGCAGUGAACACACAGACAUGCUUUGACUUUUAUUUAGCUAUUUCUUGUGUUUUCAAUAAAAUCCAUAUUAUCAUUGAA
Long non-coding RNA from Strigops habroptila (Kakapo), 1780 nucleotides. RefSeq lists it as uncharacterized. The transcript has 3 exons. Lineage: Eukaryota; Metazoa; Chordata; Aves; Psittaciformes; Psittacidae. The record is from RefSeq and is a predicted model, not a curated record.